AAAUAUAUUUAAUUUCCAUAUUCAACAGAUUCAUAAUGAUUAAUUAAUUUAAUUCCAUUUUCAAACUUCACCUAUUUAAUUAAAUAAAUAAUAAUUUGAAAACCUUAAAUUAAUUCUUAAGUAAUUUCUAUACUCAGUGAAAAAAAAAACACAUCCAUUAUGAAUGUGACUUAUUUCUCUGACUUCAUCAUUUCCAUCCAUUUUUGUUCAUUUGGUUUUACAUACAAUUUGUAAUAGGCCCAUUUUGCCUGGGCCCAUAAAAAACAAAAAAAACCAAAAAAAUAAAAUAUAUUUAUAAGACCAAACAAUGAAAGACCAAAUUGUUUAUAGGGCCAAAGUCCAUUUACAAAACCCAAAACUAAAAUGAAAAAAUAAAAAACAAUACAAUAAAAGUUCAAUAACUCAUGACCCAAUUGAAUAAAUCCUCAAACCCAACAGCCCAAACCCGAGGCCCAAUACACCCAAAAAUAAUUUUAGUAGCCUAAGAAUGCCAGAAUCUUCUGGAAUAAACUAGAGGGUUGGCUUCCCACGAGGGUUUCUCACGCACGUCUGCUUCCGUACAUCCCGGCGCGCCUCCGUACAUCCACGUCAACGGAGCCUACAAGAAAGAAAAACAAACAGCAAAGGAAGGCACGAGAAAGAGGCUAACAGAAUUUACAGCGAUUGACAGCAAGAAAAUGUAAUUUUAUUUUGAUUUUACUCUAUAAAUCCGACUAUAAAAGCCGACGAAUGUACCUACAAAAAACUUACGUACACUGUACACAUACUAUAGACACAAAAUAGAAAAGAAGAAAUCAAAAAUAUAGAAGGUGAUCUCGAUUUUUUUUUCUUCUUUUUUUUUGAUCUAUUUUAUUGGUGGGGUGAGAUUUUUUUAGUAUAUGAAUUGACACCGAUGAAAACCCAAAUGUCUCUAAAAUGAAAAGACUCGGGUGAGGGCCGAAUGUAUUCUUCAAUUUUUAUUUUUUUCUUUGUUUUUGUUUGAUUUUUCGAAGAAACAAAGUACGAUUUGAAGUUUUUUUUUUAAAAAAAAGGGAAAUGAAAAGGAUUGGUUUACCAGAUCUCCAUGGUUGCGACUUUCACGGGCAAAGAUAGGGUUGUUAAUUGCACGUCGUCGGCCACUAAUCAAAUAUUGGCUCGUCGUCUGUUAGCCAAGUGAAACCCUAGCAAUUGGGGGUUAAUGGCUGCUGCUGUUUCUAAAAAAAAAUGAUUAAAAUUAGGUCAUGUUUGAAGAAAAAAGGGCUUAAAAUCAUCCAUAAAGAAAAACGGCGCCGUUUAUACCCAGGAAGGUUCGAACAUUGGCCCGAUAAACAAGUCGGAUCUGCGCCCUUUUAUUUGAAUGGGUAAAUUGCGCGCUGGAUCCUUCUUCCGCGCGAAGCCUCCAAUUGCGCCCUAUUUGGCUACUUUGUUUUUUAAUUUGGCUCUAUGAUUUCUGUGCCUUUUUAUUUUGGUCUGCGAUUCAGUGUAGCGAUUUGAGCUCGGGAUAUUUCCAAUUCUAGUCCUCGCACAUUUGUGUGCAUGGCACAUUGAUCCUAUUUUUCAAUUAUUUUAUUUGUAAAUUAUUCUUCUUGUUUCAAGUUUGUUGUAAUUAAGUUUUUAUUACUGCAUAUACAUUUUCUUUUACAUGUUUGAUUAUUGGUUGC
This 1640-nucleotide long non-coding RNA is filed under the name Gossypium barbadense (sea-island cotton). Its description in RNAcentral is "long non-coding RNA (GBAR_LNC005196)". Lineage: Eukaryota; Viridiplantae; Streptophyta; Magnoliopsida; Malvales; Malvaceae. The record is from RNAcentral.